RNAcentral lists this ribosomal RNA (229 nucleotides) under uncultured bacterium. Its description in RNAcentral is "partial 16S ribosomal RNA". It matches the Rfam family "Bacterial small subunit ribosomal RNA", at positions 568 to 796 of the family's 1533-position model. The record is from RNAcentral.
UGCGCAGGCGGGCUUGUAAGUCAGUGGUGAAAUACUGCCGCUCAACGGUAGAACUGCCAUUGAUACUGCAAGUCUUGAAUAUGGUUGAGGUAGGCGGAAUGUGUCGUGUAGCGGCGAAAUGCAUAGAUAUGACACAGAACGCCAAUUGCGAAGGCAGCUUACUAAGCCAUUAUUGACGCUGAGGCACGAAAGCGUGGGGAGCGAACAGGAUUAGAUACCCUGGUAGUCC